ACUGCUCAGUAACACGUGGACAACCUGCCCUUAGGACGGGGAUAAACCCGGGAAACUGGGUAUAAUACCCGAUAGGUCUCGAGUGCUGGAAUGCAUCGAGAUCUAAAGCUCCGGCGCCUAAGGAUGGGUCUGCGGCCUAUCAGGUAGUAGUGGGUGUAGUGUACCUACUAGCCUACGACGGGUACGGGUUGUGAGAGCAAGAGCCCGGAGAUGGAUUCUGAGACACGAAUCCAGGCCCUACGGGGUGCAGCAGGCGCGAAAACUUUACAAUGCUGGCAACAGCGAUAAGGGAACCUCGAGUGCCAGGUUACAAAUCUGGCUGUCGUGAUGCCUAAAAAGCAUUGCAUAGCAAGGGCCGGGCAAGACCGGUGCCAGCCGCCGCGGUAACACCGGCGGCUCGAGUGGUAACCGUUAUUAUUGGGUCUAAAGGGUCUGUAGCCGGCCGGAUAAGUCUCUUGAGAAAUCUGGCAGCUUAACUGUCAGGCUUUCAGGAGAUACUGUCUGGCUCGAGGCCGGGAGAGGUGAGAGGUACUUCAGGGGUAGGGGUGAAAUCUUGUAAUCCUUGAAGGACCACCAGUGGCGAAGGCGUCUCACCAGAACGGACCUGACGGCAAGGGACGAAAGCUAGGGGCACGAACCGGAUUAGAUACCCGGGUAGUCCUAGCCGUAAACGAUACUCGCUAGGUGUCGGCCACGGUGCGACCGUUGUCGGUGCCGUAGGGAAGCCGUGAAGCGAGCCACCUGGGAAGUACGGCCGCAAGGCUGAAACUUAAAGGAAUUGGCGGGGGAGCACCACAACGGGUGGAGCUUGCGGUUUAAUUGGAUUCAACGCCGGAAAUCUUACCGGGACCGACAGCAAUAUGAAGGCCAGGCUGAAGACUUUGCCGGAUUAGCUGAGAGGUGGUGCAUGGCCGUCGUCAGUUCGUACUGUGAAGCAUCCUGUUAAGUCAGGCAACGAGCGAGACCCCUGCC
This 972-nucleotide ribosomal RNA is filed under the name uncultured archaeon. RNAcentral describes it as "bacterial SSU rRNA". It matches the Rfam family "Archaeal small subunit ribosomal RNA", at positions 85 to 1058 of the family's 1478-position model. The record is from RNAcentral.